CGUCUGCCCCAGAAAAACAACGAGAAUUUGUUAAUCUAAAUAACAUUGUGCAACGUUGAUCAUUCGAGGGUAAUGAGCGAAGGGAGGAUAGAUAGAGCAAGAGAAAGAGAGAGAAAGAGUAGGAGAGAAUGAAAGCGUGAAUUGAGG
This is a long non-coding RNA of Drosophila navojoa, 147 nucleotides long. The record is from RefSeq and is a predicted model, not a curated record. NCBI's taxonomy places the organism in Eukaryota, Metazoa, Arthropoda, Insecta, Diptera, Drosophilidae.